This 329-nucleotide ribosomal RNA is filed under the name uncultured eukaryote. RNAcentral describes it as "partial 18S ribosomal RNA". It matches the Rfam family "Eukaryotic small subunit ribosomal RNA", at positions 1470 to 1796 of the family's 1831-position model. The record is from RNAcentral.
CCCUUAGAUGUUCUGGGCCGCACGCGCGCUACACUGACUACUUCAACGAGUUGUUUCCUUGAUCGAAAGGUCUGGGUAAUCUUUGAAAGGUAGUCGUGAUGGGGAUAGAUCCUUGCAAUUUUUGAUCUUCAACGAGGAAUUCCUAGUAAACGCAAGUCAUCAGCUUGCAUUGAUUACGUCCCUGCCCUUUGUACACACCGCCCGUCGCUACUACCGAUUGAAUGAUUUAGUGAGGACUUCGGACUGGGACCGAUGCGGCUUUCGGGCUGCGUCGGUAUUCUGGAAAGAUGUCCAAACUGUAUCAUUUAGAGGAAGUAAAAGUCGUAACA